RNAcentral lists this ribosomal RNA (253 nucleotides) under uncultured bacterium. RNAcentral describes it as "partial 16S ribosomal RNA". It matches the Rfam family "Bacterial small subunit ribosomal RNA", at positions 524 to 776 of the family's 1533-position model. The record is from RNAcentral.
UACGGGGGGGGCAAGCGUUGUUCGGAAUUACUGGGCGUAAAGGGCUCGUAGGUGGCCAACUAAGUCAGACGUGAAAUCCCUCGGCUCAACCGGGGAACUGCGUCUGAUACUGGAUGGCUUGAAUCCGGGAGAGGGAUGCGGAAUUCCAGGUGUAGCGGUGAAAUGCGCAGAUAUCAGGAGGAACACCGGUGGCGAAGGCGGAUCUCUGGGCCUUACCUGACGCUCAGGUGCGAAAGCUAGGGGAGCGAACAGG